This 336-nucleotide unclassified non-coding RNA is filed under the name uncultured Mortierella. RNAcentral's name for it is "sequence contains ITS2". The stretch from base 1 to 52 matches the Rfam family "5.8S ribosomal RNA", at positions 103 to 154 of the family's 154-position model. Lineage: Eukaryota; Fungi; Mortierellomycota; Mortierellomycetes; Mortierellales; Mortierellaceae. The record is from RNAcentral.
AACGCAUAUUGCGCUCUCUGGUAUUCCGGAGAGCAUGCUUGUUUGAGUAUCAGUAAACACCUCAACUCCCUUUCUUCUUGAAAUGGAGCUGGACUUGAGUGAUCCCAACGCUUUAUUCAUAAAGUGGCGGGUUACUUGAAAUGCAGGUGCAGCUGGACUUUUCUCUGAGCUAUAAGCAUAUCUAUUUAGUCUGCCUCAAAACAGAUUAUUACCUUUGCUGCAGCUAACAUAAAGGAGAUUAGUUCUUGUGCUGACUGAUGCAGGAUUCACAAAGACCGCUUCGGCUGUCUUUGUAAACUCGAUCUCAAAUCAAGUAAGACUACCCGCUGAACUUAA